RNAcentral lists this ribosomal RNA (250 nucleotides) under uncultured bacterium. RNAcentral's name for it is "partial 16S ribosomal RNA". It matches the Rfam family "Bacterial small subunit ribosomal RNA", at positions 102 to 353 of the family's 1533-position model. The record is from RNAcentral.
ACGGGUGAGUAAUGUCUGGGAAACUGCCUGAUGGAGGGGGAUAACUACUGGAAACGGUAGCUAAUACCGCAUAACGUCGCAAGACCAAAGAGGGGGACCUUCGGGCCUCUUGCCAUCAGAUGUGCCCAGAUGGGAUUAGCUAGUAGGUGGGGUAACGGCUCACCUAGGCGGCGAUCCCUAGCUGGUCUGAGAGGAUGACCAGCCACACUGGAACUGAGACACGGUCCAGACUCCUACGGGAGGCAGCAUG